UAAAACAUUACAAACUCCCAAUUCAAAUGAUUGAAUAACAAAAAUAAAAAGUUUUUUUAUACUGACAAUCUAAAAAUAAUCGGGGUAUGUAAGAUUAGGCGGGGAAUAAUCGGAUUAGGCGGGGAAUAAUCGGAUUAGGCGGAGAGUAAUCGGGUGACUGAUUUCUUUAAGGGAUUAGUCAUUAAUCGAGGCGGAUAGGGUAGGCCUAGCGAUUAAGCGGGGAGUAAUCGGGUCUAGGCGGGGAUUUUUAGAACAGGG
This 258-nucleotide long non-coding RNA is filed under the name Arabidopsis lyrata. RNAcentral describes it as "long non-coding RNA (ALYR_LNC001512)". The record is from RNAcentral. Lineage: Eukaryota; Viridiplantae; Streptophyta; Magnoliopsida; Brassicales; Brassicaceae.